AUUUCAUACAUUCACAUAUUUUCAUAUAAAUUACAUCAGAAUAUUCAUUCUAAAUAUUUGCACAUUUAAUCCAACCGAAAAGCAAGGGAACUUAUAGUCGAACACUAUUUAACGGACCAUCAUUGGGCUGAAUACUAUUCACCAAAUGCCAUCUUCCGAGCGUUACUGGACGAACGUCAGGAACGAACGUCAGGACGAACGAACGCCAUUUCUGAACGAUAUGGACGAACGUCAUUUCGGAAUGUAUGGCCGAACGUGAUUUUUGAAAACGGGACGAACGUCAUUAACCUAAGUGGACGAACGCUAUUAAGCCAAAAGGACGAACGCUAAUUUCCAAAUGAACGAACGCGAAAUACCAAAUGGACGAACGCUAAUCACCUUGGACGAACGCUCAACACACCAAUUCUUUGGACGAACGCUCAGGCCGAGAACGAACGCUACACUCAGAAUUUAAAUAAUACCGAACGCUCACAAACUAAGGCCGAACACUCACAAACUAAGGCCGAACACUCAAGAUCAAUUACUUAGGCCGAACGCUCAACUACUGAACACCAAAUUCAAUACUGGACGAGCGCUCAAAGAUCAAACCUUGACAAGACCGAACGCUUACUAUUUAUACAUAUAGAAACAAAAUCUACUAAGACCGAACGCUAAUAUCACUAAAACUCAACAAGCACGAACGCUAACGAACUCCUAACAGUAUGAGACCGAACGCGCAACUUGUACGAACGUUCAAUAACUGGACGAACGUUCUUAGUAAUUUGCACGAACGCUCAGGCCGAACACUUCUUUGGACGA
This 798-nucleotide small RNA is filed under the name Vigna angularis var. angularis. RNAcentral describes it as "Non-protein coding transcript". The record is from RNAcentral. Lineage: Eukaryota; Viridiplantae; Streptophyta; Magnoliopsida; Fabales; Fabaceae.